AGCAGCCGCGGUAAUUCCAGCUCCAAUAGCGUAUAUUAAAGUUGUUGCAGUUAAAAAGCUCGUAGUUGAAUUUCGGGAUCAAUUGAUUGGUCAUGCCUUGGUAUGAGCUGGUCAUAUUGGUUCUCACCUUCUAAUGAACCAUAAUGUCAUUCACUUGAUGUUAUGGGGAAUUAGGACUGUUACCUUGAAAAAAUUAGAGUGUUUAAAGCAGGCUUACGCUUGAAUACAUUAGCAUGGAAUAAUGAAAUAGGACAUCGCAUUCUAUUUUGUUGGUUUCUAGGAUCGAUGUAAUGAUUAAUAGGGAUAGUUGGGGGCAUUAGUAUUCAAUUGUCAGAGGUGAAAUUCUUGGAUUUAUUGAAGACUAACUACUGCGAAAGCAUUUGCCAAGGAUGUUUUCAUUAAUCAAGAACGAAAGUUAGGGGAUCGAAGACGAUCAGAUACCGUCGUAGUCUUAACCAUAAACUAUGCCGACUAGGGAUCGGAUGAUGUUAAUUUUUAAAUGACUCA
RNAcentral lists this ribosomal RNA (507 nucleotides) under uncultured Glomus. RNAcentral's name for it is "SSU rRNA". It matches the Rfam family "Eukaryotic small subunit ribosomal RNA", at positions 569 to 1078 of the family's 1831-position model. The record is from RNAcentral. Lineage: Eukaryota; Fungi; Glomeromycota; Glomeromycetes; Glomerales; Glomeraceae.